This 497-nucleotide ribosomal RNA is filed under the name Goiascolex sp. 327. RNAcentral describes it as "partial 16S ribosomal RNA". It matches the Rfam family "Bacterial large subunit ribosomal RNA", at positions 1808 to 2606 of the family's 2925-position model. The record is from RNAcentral. Lineage: Eukaryota; Metazoa; Annelida; Clitellata; Crassiclitellata; Glossoscolecidae.
CAAAAACAUUAUCUUAUGAAGUCUUAUAUAAGACAAUUCCUGCCCAGUGAAAUUUAAACGGCCGCGGUACCCUAACCGUGCAAAGGUAGCAUAAUAACUUGUCUAUUAAUUGUAGACUGGAAUGAAAGGAUAAACAAAACUUAACCUGUCUCCAUUAAACUCAUAAAAAUUAUUAUCUACUUGAAGAAAAUUAGAUAAAACUGAAGGACAAGAAGACCCUGUAGAGCUUUACUUUCAUACAGAUAUAGAAUCUAUAAAAGUUCGGUUGGGGCGACCUAAGAUAUAAUUAUCACCUUAUGUGCAAAGAACUAUUAUUCUUUAUUAUGAGCCUAAAUUUAUAGAUCAAUAAUAACAGCUACCUCAGGGAUAACAGGCUAAUAUUCUAAAAAGUUCCCAUUUACAGAUGUGUUUGGCACCUCGAUGUUGGCUUAAGAAAUCUAUACAGUGCAAAAGCUUUAUAAGAUGGUUUGUUCAACCAAUAAUCUCCUACGUGAUCU